Molecule: ribosomal RNA, 250 nt
Filed under: uncultured bacterium
Lineage: Bacteria
Description: partial 16S ribosomal RNA
Rfam family: Bacterial small subunit ribosomal RNA
Source: RNAcentral
UAGAUACCCUGGUAGUCCACGCCCUAAACGAUGUCAACUGGUUGUCGGGCCUCAUUGGCUUGGUAACGUAGCUAACGCGUGAAGUUGACCGCCUGGGGAGUACGGUCGCAAGAUUAAAACUCAAAGGAAUUGACGGGGACCCGCACAAGCGGUGGAUGAUGUGGAUUAAUUCGAUGCAACGCGAAAAACCUUACCUACCCUUGACAUGGUCGGAAUCCUGCUGAGAGGUGGGAGUGCCCGAAAGGGAACC